Molecule: ribosomal RNA, 731 nt
Filed under: uncultured Lysinibacillus sp.
Lineage: Bacteria; Bacillati; Bacillota; Bacilli; Caryophanales; Bacillaceae
Description: bacterial SSU rRNA
Rfam family: Bacterial small subunit ribosomal RNA
Source: RNAcentral
CGUGCCUAAUACAUGCAAGUCGAGCGAACAGAGAAGGAGCUUGCUCCUUUGACGUUAGCGGCGGACGGGUGAGUAACACGUGGGCAACCUACCUUAUAGUUUGGGAUAACUCCGGGAAACCGGGGCUAAUACCGAAUAAUCUGUUUCACCUCAUGGUGAAAUAUUGAAAGACGGUUUCGGCUGUCGCUAUAGGAUGGGCCCGCGGCGCAUUAGCUAGUUGGUGAGGUAACGGCUCACCAAGGCGACGAUGCGUAGCCGACCUGAGAGGGUGAUCGGCCACACUGGGACUGAGACACGGCCCAGACUCCUACGGGAGGCAGCAGUAGGGAAUCUUCCACAAUGGGCGAAAGCCUGAUGGAGCAACGCCGCGUGAGUGAAGAAGGAUUUCGGUUCGUAAAACUCUGUUGUAAGGGAAGAACAAGUACAGUAGUAACUGGCUGUACCUUGACGGUACCUUAUUAGAAAGCCACGGCUAACUACGUGCCAGCAGCCGCGGUAAUACGUAGGUGGCAAGCGUUGUCCGGAAUUAUUGGGCGUAAAGCGCGCGCAGGUGGUUUCUUAAGUCUGAUGUGAAAGCCCACGGCUCAACCGUGGAGGGUCAUUGGAAACUGGGAGACUUGAGUGCAGAAGAGGAUAGUGGAAUUCCAAGUGUAGCGGUGAAAUGCGUAGAGAUUUGGAGGAACACCAGUGGCGAAGGCGACUAUCUGGUCUGUAACUGACACUGAGGCGCG